UGCUUCUCUUGAGAGCGGCGGACGGGUGAGGUAAUGCCUAGGAAUCUGCCUGGUAGUGGGGGAUAACGUCCGGAAACGGACGCUAAUACCGCAUACGUCCUACGGGAGAAAGCAGGGGACCUUCGGGCCUUGCGCUAUCAGAUGAGCCUAGGUCGGAUUAGCUAGUUGGUGGGGUAAUGGCUCACCAAGGCGACGAUCCGUAACUGGUCUGAGAGGAUGAUCAGUCACACUGGAACUGAGACACGGUCCAGACUCCUACGGGAGGCAGCAUUGGGGAAUAUUGGACAAUGGGCGAAAGCCUGAUCCAGCCAUGCCGCGUGUGUGAAGAAGGUCUUCGGAUUGUAAAGCACUUUAAGUUGGGAGGAAGGGC
This 370-nucleotide ribosomal RNA is filed under the name uncultured bacterium. RNAcentral's name for it is "bacterial SSU rRNA". It matches the Rfam family "Bacterial small subunit ribosomal RNA", at positions 81 to 453 of the family's 1533-position model. The record is from RNAcentral.